RNAcentral lists this unclassified non-coding RNA (1456 nucleotides) under Hevea brasiliensis (rubber tree). Lineage: Eukaryota; Viridiplantae; Streptophyta; Magnoliopsida; Malpighiales; Euphorbiaceae. The record is from RNAcentral.
AGAGAGAGAGAGAGAGAUUUGAGAAACUGGGACAGAGGCAUGGAUGGAGGAGGAGGAAGGAAUAUAACAGUGACCCCGAGACCAUGCAGUCGGAGGAGGGUAUUAGCAGAGAAACGUGGUAGGGGCUUAGGAGGCGUUGAUGGGUUAAACAACAGCGUUAAGAAACUUCAGAGAAGGGAAAUCUGCUCCAAGCGUGACCGUGCUUUCACCAUGACUGACGCCCAGGAACGCUUUCGCAAUAUUCGCUUGCAGGUUCCCUCUGCACUUUUCCUUUCUGUUCUUCUUUUUUGUCAAAAGCCUCUUUUCUUAGGGUUUUAUCGCAAUAACUCGUGCUAUCCGUUUGUUAGUCAUCUUCAUAUUAACUCUAUAUUAUGUCUGCAAAAAAAUUGCUCUGAAUUAGAAUUUAUCUAUCAAAAUAAAAGAAUGAACCUGAUGGUUAAUUAGCUUUUUUGGGCAAACUUCUCAUAAAUUGGCACCUCAUCUAUUAUUAAUCUGCUCUGCAUUCAGCAUAAUAAGAAAGAAUGGUACUUUUUAGUGUAAUAUUACUUGGAGCUGGAGGAGUCGUGCUUUGGAAUUGUGUUGGGUUCUUCUAUUUCAAUGAUUGAUGCUUGAAUUUAUGAAUAGGAGGAAUAUGAUACCCAUGAUCCAAAAGGUCAUUGUUCCAUGGUGUUGCCUUUCUUGAGAAAAAGAUCAAAGAUUAUUGAGAUUGUAGCGGCACGUGAUAUCGUCUUUGCCCUUUUACAGUCUGGCAUUUGUGCAGCAUUUAGCCGAGAAAACAAUCAAAGGAUAUGCUUUCUCAAUGUCACUCCUGAUGAAGUUAUUCGAAGCUUGUUUUACAAUAAAAACAAUGACUCACUUAUUACAGUUUCAGUUUAUGCUUCAGAUAAUUUCAGCUCCUUGAAAUGCAGAAGCACUAGGAUUGAGUAUAUACGAAGGGGUAAACCGGAUGCUGGCUUUGCUCUUUUUGAAUCUGAGUCACUGAAAUGGCCUGGUUUUGUAGAGUUUGAUGAUGUAAAUGGUAAAGUACUCACUUAUUCUGCACAGGAUAGGUAAUAAUUCCAUCUUAUUGAUGAAAUCAAUAACAUUUGAUCAUCAAGUACUCAAUUAGCCUCCUAAAUUGAUAUUUUUCCUCCUUUCCCCUACAAUUCUUUCGUCAGUAUAUACAAGGUGUUUGACCUCAAAAAUUAUACAAUGUUAUAUUCCAUAUCAGAUAAAAAUGUUCAAGAGAUUAAGAUCAGGUAAUAUUCCUUUACUUGUUUUCAUCUUUUUAUUUGCUUAACAAUGCUUACUAAAAAGGCUACAGAAAGGCACAUGUGCACACUGGUACUUGUGAACGAGAAAAUGUUUUCUUGCAUACGCUAUGUUCAUUGUGGUUCAGGCGCAUCAUGAUGCAUGAUUCUUAUCAUUCUAAUGUUUUAUGCUUUUUCAUGAAUUUUGUGAGAUGUACUUGGUGGUU